Caenorhabditis elegans is the source of this 21-nucleotide non-coding RNA. The record is from Ensembl. Lineage: Eukaryota; Metazoa; Nematoda; Chromadorea; Rhabditida; Rhabditidae.
CUUCCACUUGCACAUCGAGUU